Molecule: ribosomal RNA, 929 nt
Filed under: Staphylococcus sp. KSUM_2
Lineage: Bacteria; Bacillati; Bacillota; Bacilli; Caryophanales; Staphylococcaceae
Description: bacterial SSU rRNA
Rfam family: Bacterial small subunit ribosomal RNA
Source: RNAcentral
GAACGCUGGCGGCGUGCCUAAUACAUGCAAGUCGAGCGAACAGACGAGGAGCUUGCUCCUUUGACGUUAGCGGCGGACGGGUGAGUAACACGUAGGUAACCUACCUAUAAGACUGGGAUAACUUCGGGAAACCGGAGCUAAUACCGGAUAAUAUUUCGAACCGCAUGGUUCGAUAGUGAAAGAUGGCUUUGCUAUCACUUAUAGAUGGACCUGCGCCGUAUUAGCUAGUUGGUAAGGUAACGGCUUACCAAGGCAACGAUACGUAGCCGACCUGAGAGGGUGAUCGGCCACACUGGAACUGAGACACGGUCCAGACUCCUACGGGAGGCAGCAGUAGGGAAUCUUCCGCAAUGGGCGAAAGCCUGACGGAGCAACGCCGCGUGAGUGAUGAAGGUCUUCGGAUCGUAAAACUCUGUUAUUAGGGAAGAACAAACGUGUAAGUAACUGUGCACGUCUUGACGGUACCUAAUCAGAAAGCCACGGCUAACUACGUGCCAGCAGCCGCGGUAAUACGUAGGUGGCAAGCGUUAUCCGGAAUUAUUGGGCGUAAAGCGCGCGUAGGCGGUUUUUUAAGUCUGAUGUGAAAGCCCACGGCUCAACCGUGGAGGGUCAUUGGAAACUGGAAAACUUGAGUGCAGAAGAGGAAAGUGGAAUUCCAUGUGUAGCGGUGAAAUGCGCAGAGAUAUGGAGGAACACCAGUGGCGAAGGCGACUUUCUGGUCUGUAACUGACGCUGAUGUGCGAAAGCGUGGGGAUCAAACAGGAUUAGAUACCCUGGUAGUCCACGCCGUAAACGAUGAGUGCUAAGUGUUAGGGGGUUUCCGCCCCUUAGUGCUGCAGCUAACGCAUUAAGCACUCCGCCUGGGGAGUACGACCGCAAGGUUGAAACUCAAAGGAAUUGACGGGGACCCGCACAAGCGGUGGAGCAUG